Long non-coding RNA from Phyllopteryx taeniolatus (common seadragon), 1529 nucleotides. RefSeq lists it as uncharacterized. The record is from RefSeq and is a predicted model, not a curated record. The transcript has 3 exons. NCBI's taxonomy places the organism in Eukaryota, Metazoa, Chordata, Actinopteri, Syngnathiformes, Syngnathidae.
UUCCAUGGAGGUUGGUCAAGAGUAACCUAUGCCAAAGUUGUCUUGGAGGCACCUUUCCUCAGCAUUUCUAGAAUUUGAGCAACCUAUCUUCCAACUACCUCUGGGUCAUCUCACUUGGAUAUGAAAGGAAAGUUUCUAAACAAAAAAAACAGAAUUAUCAGAGGCCCAACAUAACCAAAAGGUCAAAGGGUAGCAAAGGAGCUGUCACCGUGUCGGAUGGAGGAACUCGCUUCCGCUCCGGUCCUUUACCCACAAGGCAGCUGGACAGGGAGGGAGGAUGCUCUUGGUGUGACGUAAAUACGGUAAAGGAAACCACCCACCUGAUGAAAAACAACCCAUAAGAGACAGAGGGCGUGAUUGACAAGGUGUCAAUCAUUUGUUGCACUUGUGGGCAAACUCAUCGUGGGCACUCCCCCGUAGGCUAACAUAACAUUUACUGAAAAUGAGACACUAAACUUCUGGGAAAAUACGUAAACAUGAGAAUAAUGAUAAUAUUUGGGGAGUUGAAAAUGAUAUAUUCUACUUUGAUUGUUGUGCAAUUCAGUAGAUUAAAUUAUUGUGACCAAGGUUUUGCAUGAACCUUGUAUCUGUAUACUAUAUCAGUAGCAAUGUGUUUCGAAGAUAGUGGCUGUUGAAUGCAGACGCUGAAGGGUUUGUUAGCAAGUUUAGUUGUGCAUGCUUUUUGGGUUGCACACUGGGGACAUUUUUGUUAUCCUCCGAGGACCAUACUAAGGCCUAGUUGGAUAUGAUUUUAUUUAAAAAAAAAUUUUUUUUUAGCAUGUGUUAAGUCCACACGCAAAUGUUUUUGAUUGUCCUUAAGAACAGAGCUUUUGGUAAAAUUGAAACACUCGGGUGACAGACAACUCUCCAAAACUUUUGUUCAGUUUUUUCCUUGCAUUAUUUAAAGUGUGCAAUGUGAGCUUUUGUAUUUAAACUGUAUUUAACAACAGAACAUGUCUAGGGACAUUAUCACCUUUUCUGUGCCCCUUUCCAUUGUCAUGAUACUUUAAUUCUUUCAUUUGCUUACUGGCACUUAUAGACUUUUUUUGCCUUUUGCUUUUUGCCUUGCCAUUUGAAAUGUGCUACAUGAUUUCAUGUAUUAGACUGUGUAUUUAACACUGGUUCGAAUACUUUAUAACACUCUUAAUCAAAAUGUAUUAUUUCAUGUGGCCUCCAAGGUUUCACAUAGGGGCUCCUCGGUUGACGACUGGGCCUACAUAUGAGGUUACAAUCAAUAAGUAUGCGCAGUAGUGUAAGAAUACAGUAUGUGGUCACGCACCGCAAGAAAGUACGCUCAGUUACGCUCAGUUACUCAGUUUUCAUGUGUUUGUUUUAUACUUAUGUAGGGGUGUACUCACUUUUGUUGCCAGCGGUUUAGACAUUAUUGAGUGUGUGUUGAGUUGAUUUGAGAGCACAGUAGAUUUAUACUGUUAUACAAGCUGCACACUUUUCCAUUCGUUCAAAAGAACGAAUACAAUUUGUGUCAAUUUCCAUUCUUAGGUGUACAUUAUGUUCAGGAAUCGGUUACA